This 253-nucleotide ribosomal RNA is filed under the name uncultured bacterium. RNAcentral describes it as "partial 16S ribosomal RNA". It matches the Rfam family "Bacterial small subunit ribosomal RNA", at positions 524 to 776 of the family's 1533-position model. The record is from RNAcentral.
UACGGAGGGGGCUAGCGUUGUUCGGAAUUACUGGGCGUAAAGCGCACGUAGGUGGCUAUCCAAGUUGGGGGUGAAAUCCCUGGGCUUAACCCAGGAACUGCCUCCAAAACUGGGUAGCUAGAGUCCGAGAGAGGUGAGUGGAAUUUCCAGUGUAGAGGUGAAAUUCGUAGAUAUUGGAAAGAACACCAGUGGCGAAGGCGGCUCACUGGCUCGGUACUGACACUGAGGUGCGACAGCGUGGGGAGCAAACAGG